Molecule: long non-coding RNA, 6409 nt
Organism: Centrocercus urophasianus (Greater sage-grouse)
Lineage: Eukaryota; Metazoa; Chordata; Aves; Galliformes; Phasianidae
Exons: 5
Source: RefSeq, a predicted model, not a curated record
UGGCCAACCCGCGGCCUCCACGGGAGAGUUGGCGGCCGCUGAUUGGAGGAGGUAGCGAGAGGCGGGUUUCUCCUCCUCCCUGGGCCGCCAUUUUUGUUAAGGGAAAGUUGCCCUUGCGGACACCAUCUUGUAGGUGGGCAGAUCCUUAGCAAGGCGAGGCGUUCUUGAGCGGGAGAAUUUGAGAUGGACAGAGCGCAGGUGGGGGUUUGGAGGCCGUAUCUGUGGAUGUCUGGAGCACACUGAGGAUUGCCCUGUCAGGAGGACAGCAAUGAAUGUACAGCUGUAGCACUUUAAUAUCAGUUUUGCUUCAGAUGGGGCCAGCAGGUACGCUCACGAUGGAGAGAUGUGCUGCGGAAUUCCACCAACUGUUUCAGAAAUGCACGUGCUACUCUGUUAUGCAAAGAAACCCAAGGAAUGCAUUACGUCUGAAUCAGCGACGCACAGAACAAAGGGGUGCUGUUCAAAACAUCCUGUUACUGCACUCCAUACAAAGAAUCUCCAAAUCCUGUUGCACCAGGGCAACAACUGCUGUUGCUUCUGCCUGCUCCAGGACUGAGUUUGCUGACGGAGUUGCACUAUGCCAGAAAGCCACCCCACCCUCCAGAGAAAUACGAGUUCCACAAAGUACUUGUUCCAGCAUUCACAAAAUCUAACGGCAGUCUACCUUCUGCACCUUUUAAGUUAAGCACUGAAAAGGGCGACAGAAUGUGCAGUAGAUAUCAGAACAACAGAAAGUUAACUCCACAGAGGCUCAAAUUCAGUAAAUUCAGGAAUUUAUUCUGUCCUCCUCUGUGUGCACCUGCCAUAAAUCGGGUAUCCGUGUACACCAUUUGAUUAUUUUCAACCCCCUAUGAAUACACAGUAAUGACAGACAUUCAGAAUGAUCAGACUGCUGUUGUACAGCCCCUCUAAUCAGAGCAAGGUGGUGCACUGUGAGAGCAAACCUCAGGGAGGUCUUCCAGCAGAAAUGGACUCUGCCCAUGUUGUCUGCAUUCUUGCUUUUGCAGUUUUAUUUGCAAGAUCUGCUGUUUUUCUGUUUUGUUUUGUUUUUACAAUGAAGGAAUUCAGUAUAUCAGUACAUUUACUACUUUCAGAAGUAAAUUUUCCCACAGAAAAAAGCAAAAAAAACCAAAAAACCCCAAACCAAAUGUGAUUAGGGAGAUGGAAUUGAGUACUUAAUUCUCUUAAAAAUUUCUAAGAACCUCAAAUUAGAGAUUAACAUGAAAAUAUUUCACUCACUUCUAAGGAAUUGCCUUGACUUACCUUCAUUGAAAACAUAACUCUGAAUUGAGCUUUCAUACCUGUGUGCUAUACCAGAGACCCAGCUUGGUUCAUUAGCAGUUAGGGCUAAUUCUGCUACUGGAAAACUCUACUCCUGUCCAUCAUAAGCCGAAUUUUAAUACUGUUCUCUUCUUAAUUGGGAAGGUUGCUGGGAUUACAAGCAGCCUGUGUUAGUAACAAAAUAGAGGAAGCACAAGAGACUUUGUUCCAGCCAAAUGGACCAUUUAAGAAACAGAACCAUAAUUUAUUACUUUUGUAUGGGCUUGAGAAAGAAAAGAAAGACAUCCUCUGAAAAUCCCCUUCGUACGACAGCUGACCGAGCCCAGACUUUGUACAGAUGAGAUGGUCUCAUCUUUAGGAGAGUUUAGAAGCAACAUUCUCUGCCCAGUCACUGUAUUUAGAGGUAGUGCUAAAGGUGACCUGUAAAAGAUGUGUAUCCUUUUUUGCUUCUUUAUGCUGAUUGUAGCAGGAGAAACUGAGUGGCUAGGGGAAGAACAGGACACGUUGAUGCUACUCCUGUUUCUGACACUAAUUUACAUGCUGGAGAUCUCCCACCUGCACUGAAUUCUUCAUCCCUUUCUGGAGCCUGACCAUAAAAAAAGCUAGGGGGGGAAGGCUGUAUCGCCACAUGAAGAGAAAAGAACCAAAACCUUCAAAAAGAGAGAAGGAGCUCUUACAACUUCUUCAUACUUUCUAAAGAGCAAAAGAGGAAAGAAAUGUUCCUUCUUUACAGGCUGCCUUUAAGAUUUCUGACUCUAGGGUGCACGCUACACUGAGCAUUUCUUGCAUCUGCCUACUGUGAGAGAUGGACAUCCUCCACGCCAGCUGCAGUGACUUUUGGAGGGGGGCUGAGGAAUGACGGUUUUGGGUAAUGGAUCUCAGCUCCUGGGUGAUGGAAGUUAGUGAGAAUUGUGAUGUUCAGCCCUGAGGCAAGGAAUAGUGGAUGUCAUGCAUUUAGCCACUUUUUCUUUACUGGUGAGUCAUCAACCAGUUGUGGCAUGAAGAACUUUUUAUUUUAACUGGAAUAGAAAUGCUGGUGUUGACAGCCUGCCCAAAGCUGGGCAUGGGAAAGGCCUACAAUCAAGUCACAGCUCCAGUGGCUACUAACCUCCCCCUCAUCCUGUAACACAGAUGAACAGCAUGACUCCAAUGAGAAAGCAGGUUGGUUUAGCCAGUGAAAGCAAAUUUUAAGAAAUCAAACAGUACAUAAAAAACAAAGGAGGCAGAGUUUGUUGGAAAUGGUAUCUUGGAAAUCAGUGCAUCAGCACUGGUUAAUUGCCUCAGCACCUAUGAACCAAUGCAGGGAGAUCACUGCACAGAUAUGUACAAUCCUGCUCUCAAAAGAGCCAAUAUCUUCUUAGAAUUGCCAUCUUUCCACUGCCUGCUCCUCAUGCACCUUCCAGACUGACAGUUCAUAAAAUCCCUGAUUUCAGCAAUGAGCUUUCACUUCUGUACAGCAAUAAAAUGUGUCCCUAGUGCAACUGCUUCUACUCAAGUGUGUCCCAGAGCUGAGAGGAAACCAGUUUCAAAAUCAGCUUUCCACCUUUCCUCCUCCUUCCUCCUCCGCUUAAGACUGUAUUUUUCAGCUUCUGCAAGUCUCUAUGGCUUGUGUGCCAUGCGGUGCAGUUAAGAAACUGCAGAAGGAAUAACCAUCCACUGCACAGAAAGUUAAAAAAACGUAACGGAAAGGUGUAAAAGGAAACUUGAAAGGAAAGCAGCAACCUCCCUUGCUGGCCCAGUUGCAUAUGCGGGCUCCAGCCAAGCUUGUGGCAGUAGAAGUCAGCUUGUUGUUCUCCGAGUCCUCAGCUCUGCGCUCUGGUCACAUCUGGAAUGACAACGCAAGCUGCUUACCAGCAGUUGUUCCUACUGCUCACUGAUGCCGUGCUCCCAUGCUACCCUGGCCUGCUCUUCCUUUCCACCACUCACAGGCUGGGACACUUUACGAUGCAACUGGCGGUGUUUGUCGUCAUCUUCAAUUAUCAUUCCUUCCUCAUUCUCUGUGUUUGGCAGCCGGGAGUGGUAAGGUUUGGGGGGUAGAGCAGGAGGGUCCAGGGUGUCCUGAGGAAUGACUCCUGACGGAGCUGAGUGGCUUCGGCAUGGCUGGGAUUUGAGUGACUCGAGGACGUCAGGCUCAGAGAGACUGUACCUCACAGGGAGGUAGGGUGUCUCUAGAUCUUCGUCAGUGUUCCAGGCCUGGCUGGGGACAGAAUCCAUGGUGUCGGUGCGAGGAGGUGGUUCGGAGGAAUGUCCAAAAUUACUCUCGCUCAAGGAGGAGACACCACUGCUUGCACUGCCGGAUAAAGUGGAGUUGCUUCCAUCUAGACCAGACUGUGGACUGGUGGGUGAUGCAGGGAUGGGAUGAAGAGGGGACUGUUUGCAGAAAAACAGAAAUCUUGUUAAAAUCGACACGGGAGGCAACACUGCAGCUCGCUAACAUUUCAGCUUUUAACAGUGAUGUUAACAACAGUGCAGUCCUGGUUUUGUUCAAAAUGUCAGCCAUUGGCAGUCUGUAUAUAUAUUCCCCUGAUUUGUAUGGAAACACCUCUUGUGGACAAAUCAGUGCACUUAACACAGCAGCUGAAGUGAUAAAAUCCCUCUCUCCCUCUGUACUGAGGGGGCCUGAAAUCACAACAUAAGCAAAAGGGAAGUGGGAGGGCCUAAAUUUAAGUUCAGCAGUUUAUAAACUUGGAAUGAAUUUUCUCUCAAUUAAGUCAAUAGCAUUUUAAAAAUAGUGAAUCUGUAUUCAAGAACUACUUGGAGGUGACAGUGGACAAGGGUGUCCUUCCAGAGCCUAUACUUUUUCUUCUGUUUUUCUCUCCCUGACACUUCUUUUUUACCUUGCGCAAUGUUCGUGCAGGCAGUGCCGGAGGAGCAUCAUUGAGCUGGUGAUGGAAGGCAUCAAAGUGCAGCGAGUAGUGUCCUGGAAUGAGACAAGGGUCAGAAAUACGGACCUCAACGCUGUAAGAGAGUUGGGGUUUUAGAUUCUGCAAGCCAAGUAACAGCUCCAACCACUGAUGAGACCGAUCCAGCCUGAGGCUUCCCUUCCGAUCAGUACUGUGGAGUGCAUCUGUCACAUCACAAAAUACUUACAAGAAGUUCAGUGCAGUGAUAGAUUUCCACCCACCCCCUGUAUCAAGGAUUUCACGGCAAGGCAACGGGCUCGUAAACAACGAAUGACUGAAGGUUUAUUUAGUAGCUAUGUAACCAUAAAUUAUUGCUGAAGAUAGCCACUGGCAAAAAGCCAAGUCAGACUUCCAACACACACACACACCUAGCCCACAGUUCUAGCCCACACAAGUCCAUGUUAUUUGUAACAACUGCAAAAUUUGAAGAUCUUGAACAAAACUGAAAAUGUCCACUGCUAACCUGGCAGACCAGGAAAGACUUUGACUUCUUGUUUCCGAUGCUUUCUAUGAGGGAAAACAAGAACUAUGGCCAGUUUUCAUCUGGCCUAGUCAUUUGGCAUGACUGCAUGACUUAUGCAGCAGAUCUACUGGGCUUUUCCUUACCAUGGGGCAGGCUUCGGGGAGGUACUGGUGGGGCCAAGAUGCUCCCAACGUGGACAGAUAGGAAUGGCAGGGCCUCUCUGGUUCCGCUGUCUAGGCUCCAGCUACUGGGCGCUGCUGGCACAGCUGAAGGAUUGAAACAGAUUUAACUUGGGUAAUGGGGUGAUGCGACCAGAAGGACUGGCUUGCCAGUGUACUCUGUAAUAAGUGAGGUGAGAUUUGAAGAACUUGGGGUGUGGUAGGAGGUUGGAGGCAUACAAAGGCAUCUAGUCUACAGCAUGUUUAGUUUACAGGGUGCUUUGUUAAAGAAGCGAGAGUUAGGUGAUCAGUGCUUGUUAGUCAGCCCAUCUCCCCUCUGCUGACCCUCCAGGCUCACUUCUAUGAACUAUGAAGAGCAGUAGAAUUCUGUGAAGUUUUUUUGUUUGUUUGUUUGUUUUAUGAGCCGGUAAGUAAAAAUGAAAUCUUUUUUAUGAUGAAAUCUUUUUUAAUGGUGAAGCAGCAGCUGGAUCUCAGCUAUGAGCUGUUCUGCCUGGCAGGGAACAACUCCAGAGCAGGAAGAAACAUGGGCAGAACUCCUGUGAGACACAGGAUGGCUGCAGUUGUAUUACAGUGGCUAAGCAAAGAGCGAGUGAAGGAUGUGAGGGCAAUGACCAUAAUCUGGUACAGAAGAAACCAGGACUUCAAAGAUCUCAUUUGCUCCAGAGCUGAUUGAUUAAUCUGAUCCCCAAGUACUUAAAGAUAACAGCCCAGGCUCCUUGAUUUAAAAAGUCAGCAAUGAGACUGAGCCUUUGUUAACUGGGAAAGACAGAAGCAAGAGUGCUUUCCUCAUAUAACAGGUAUUGAGAAUGAUUCUACGUGACUUUGUGUUUACAUCAUAACAGUUGCUUCUAACGAUGAGAAUGUGUCAGGAUCUCAAGAAUUUUGCCAACAGACAUUAUUAAAAUGCAUCUUCACCUCUUCCAAACGCACUCUAAGACUCAAUUUGUUCUGAGGAAAUAGAAAUGCAAUAACCGUGUAUGUGUUUAUAAACAAUCGGUGCGUUUCAUCAGCUCAGGCAGAAAAGAAAAGGGGGAAGAGGAACAAAGUACUUCAGUAGGUCUACCACAGAAAGGUGAGAUUAAAGACAGCUUUUGCCAUCUUCAGUUUGAAACAUGUAAAACAGAAGCCUGGAGAAAUAAACAGAGUUUGACAUAUGAAGAGAAUUUGUCCCUAAUUAAAAUGCCUGCAACCAUUUUUCAGAUGUGUUUCUUCUCUAAAAUGACUCUGAAAGGUUUAUUAUUGUUUUUCCUUAGCUCAUGAACACAGACUCCCCAAGAUCUAAAACUCCCCAGGGUAAAAAAGAUCAGAAAAUGACAGCCUCAAAAGACAGCCGAAAACCCACAAAAAUGUUGGCUUUAAAGAGAGACCCUCAAAGCAAGAAUGAAGUACAAAGAAGAUGCUAAGAAUCUUGACAGAGAACAGGUUCAAACAAAGGGAUGCAUACAUCUCAAAACAGAAAGAAGUCCUUCAGUUUGGUUGUGAUAACAUACAAUAUAGCGUCAAGAUAUCCACAAAAGUCUGAAACAUAUCUGUCACAGAACACUGAUGUACAGCAGAGCACAAAUGGGUGGAAGGUACAAAGA